UGACGAUAAACUCAUUGCUAGGUGCAUACGAGGACCAAAGUGACAGAAAUCUGGUAUACAUGACCAGAUUGAGAAACAUAGAUAAGGUAGAUACAAGAGUUCAAAUAGACUUCAGGCUUGCAUACUGCAUGAUCAGAUUGCCUCCAGCCACCAUUUUAGAUUGCCUUGAACCUUGCUUUCAUCCUGCAUAAACAAAAAAAAAACAGUUCAACAUGUGCUCUCAGCAUAGACAAAAAAAACAGUACAGGAUCAUAUCACAAAUUAGUUAAAUUAUUAAGAUAGAUAAGUAAGGAAAAAAUCAUAGAAACCUGAUAUCAUACUCUAGAAUUUUUUUGUGUGGGACCAAAUUUAUUCCAGAUGUGUUCCAUCAUAGAAAAACACCCUGCCAGACAAACUCAUGUACUGAACAACAUGAGAAUAUUGCAAAUUGACUGAAAAAUUGACUCAUACAGCAGAAUAUUGCAAACUCAUGGACUGCAGUGGACCGAGGAUCAAAUUCAAUGAAAAAUUGACUUAUAGACUUCAUCUAUAGUUCCUAGGAAUAAGUAUAGAUAAUUCACAUACGAACUGAAUUUAUACCAUGAACAUGACUGACCAUACAACAUGACUGAUCAUACAACAUGACUGAUCUAUUGACUAACUGUACUAGGAGAGCAAAUUUAAGUGUCCAGGAACUAAUACUCAUGCAUACAUAGCAUAUAUGGUACUAUGAAUAAAUUGUGAAAUGAGAAAUAAAUACCAAUUUGGCUCAUGUUGGUUUCCAUGAAGAAAAGCGAAAUUUGGGGGAAUGGCACCCCAUCCUGCUUCGUGCGGUGGCGGUGGCGGUGGCGGCAUGGUUGACGACGGUGCAGACAGGGCAGGAGAAGAUGGAUUUGGCGCAGCGGGACUGGGAUUCGAUGCAGCAGGGGCAGACAUGGGCGGCUGGGGCAGCUGAACUGGAGGCGGAGCAGGUGCCGACGACCUCUUCAACCCCAGCUGCUUGCCCCUGCGGACCUUCCCUCCUCUGCCUUGCGGAUCUGUGCCGCCAUGAAUCCGACUGCCGGAGACGGUUCUAUGGCUGGAGGAUCUGGCGCCGUAACCCUAGUUCGCGGGCGGUGCACAGGAGAGAUGGUGGCGGGAGUAAAGGAUUGGGGAGAAGGAGGUGAGAGCUCGCGGUGCCG
This 1160-nucleotide long non-coding RNA is filed under the name Sorghum bicolor (sorghum). RNAcentral's name for it is "long non-coding RNA (SBIC_LNC005246)". The record is from RNAcentral. Lineage: Eukaryota; Viridiplantae; Streptophyta; Magnoliopsida; Poales; Poaceae.